This 583-nucleotide long non-coding RNA is filed under the name Sorghum bicolor (sorghum). RNAcentral's name for it is "long non-coding RNA (SBIC_LNC002982)". Lineage: Eukaryota; Viridiplantae; Streptophyta; Magnoliopsida; Poales; Poaceae. The record is from RNAcentral.
CACCCUACUCUAAUAAGGCUUUAAUAUCUAGAGCUCAUAGGUGGGAGAUAAAGUAUACAUACUUACAAGACAUUUAUUGCAUAGUCAAACCAUGGAUCCAAAGUAACAAGUCAAUAAGCCAAAUCAAGAUGUGCAUGUGUGGCGAAUGAAUGGUGUAUGGUGAUGAUGGCGAUAACAAUGGUGAAAACAAUGGUGGUGGAAGUCUAAUUCUACUUUGCUCUUUGAGGGGAUACAUACCUUCCUUGCUUUUUGAAACUUUAUGAGGAGAAUGAGAUGCUCUAUAUUUUUCUUUUCUCUGAGGUGGGUAUCUUGCACCCCUAAUUCUACUGUCGGACACUUGUUCAUUUUUACCUCUCGUCUCACUUUUUCUUUUCUUUCGAGGUUCCGAGCACUUGCUCCUUUUUAUUUCCUCAUAUCUCUUUCUUUUUUUAGAGCAUUCAUCUCUUGAGAUAAUAUAGCAAGUGGUAGUAACAAGAUAACUUGAGCAUUUAUUUCACAAGGGGAAAACAGAAAUAUUUUUGGUUACUCUCUCCCGGAUUAGGAGUAGAAUAUUUUUGGGUGAUUCUGGAGAUGGAAUGGGUGG